ACGGGGAGGUUUGGCACCUCGAUGUCGGCUCAUCGCAUCCUGGGGCUGAAGAAGGUCCCAAGGGUUUGGCUGUUCGCCAAUUAAAGCGGUACGUGAGCUGGGUUCAGACCGUCGUGAGACAGGUCGGUCCCUAUCUGGUGUGGGUGUAGGAUGAUUGCGAAGGUUCUCCCCUAGUACGAGAGGAUUGGGGAGGAGGACCCUCUGGUGCUCCAGUUAUCACGCUAGUGGUACAGCUGGGUAGCUACGGUCCGAACGGAUAAGCGCUGAAAGCAUCUAAGCGCGAAGCCCUCUUCAAAACGAGUCAUCCCCAUCAGCCCCCUGGAAGACUACCAGGUUGAUAGGCCGGCGGUGUAAGCAUGGCAACAUGUUCAGCUUACCGGUACUAAUCGGGCGAUCGGCUUAUCCAC
RNAcentral lists this ribosomal RNA (407 nucleotides) under Planctomycetota bacterium. RNAcentral's name for it is "partial 23S ribosomal RNA". It matches the Rfam family "Bacterial large subunit ribosomal RNA", at positions 2508 to 2925 of the family's 2925-position model. The record is from RNAcentral. Lineage: Bacteria; Pseudomonadati; Planctomycetota.